AGUGAACGCUGGCGGUAGGCCUAACACAUGCAAGUCGAACGGCAGCACAGUAAGAGCUUGCUCUUACGGGUGGCGAGUGGCGGACGGGUGAGGAAUACAUCGAAAUCUACUUUUUCGUGGGGGAUAACGUAGGGGAACUUACGCUAAUACCGCAUACGACCUACGGGUGAAAGCAGGGGAUCUUCGGACCUUGCGCGAUUGAAUGAGCCGAUGUCGGAUUAGCUAGUUGGCGGGGUAAAGGCCCACCAAGGCGACGAUCCGUAGCUGGUCUGAGAGGAUGAUCAGCCACACUGGAACUGAGACACGGUCCAGACUCCUACGGGAGGCAGCAGUGGGGAAUAUUGGACAAUGGGCGCAAGCCUGAUCCAGCCAUACCGCGUGGGUGAAGAAGGCCUUCGGGUUGUAAAGCCCUUUUGUUGGGAAAGAAAGGCAGCAGGUUAAUACCCCGCUGUUCUGACGGUACCCAAAGAAUAAGCACCGGCUAACUUCGUG
RNAcentral lists this ribosomal RNA (492 nucleotides) under uncultured bacterium. RNAcentral's name for it is "partial 16S ribosomal RNA". It matches the Rfam family "Bacterial small subunit ribosomal RNA", at positions 29 to 507 of the family's 1533-position model. The record is from RNAcentral.